RNAcentral lists this ribosomal RNA (397 nucleotides) under uncultured bacterium. RNAcentral's name for it is "bacterial SSU rRNA". It matches the Rfam family "Bacterial small subunit ribosomal RNA", at positions 362 to 776 of the family's 1533-position model. The record is from RNAcentral.
UAUUGCACAAUGGGGGAAACCCUGAUGCAGCAACGCCGCGUGAGUGAUGACGGUCUUCGGAUUGUAAAGCUCUGUCUUCAGGGACGAUAAUGACGGUACCUGAGGAGGAAGCCACGGCUAACUACGUGCCAGCAGCCGCGGUAAUACGUAGGUGGCAAGCGUUGUCCGGAUUUACUGGGCGUAAAGGGAGCGUAGGUGGAUAUUUAAGUGGGAUGUGAAAUACUCGGGCUUAACCUGGGUGCUGCAUUCCAAACUGGAUAUCUAGAGUGCAGGAGAGGAAAGUAGAAUUCCUAGUGUAGCGGUGAAAUGCGUAGAGAUUAGGAAGAAUACCAGUGGCGAAGGCGACUUUCUGGACUGUAACUGACACUGAGGCUCGAAAGCGUGGGGAGCAAACAGG